RNAcentral lists this long non-coding RNA (821 nucleotides) under Marmota monax (woodchuck). Lineage: Eukaryota; Metazoa; Chordata; Mammalia; Rodentia; Sciuridae. The record is from RNAcentral.
UGAAAAUGUAAAUGCUUGAAUUGAUUUAGAGAAAAUAUUCGUAAAUCUUCUACAGGAAUGAUACUUAUUUCAAAUGAUCACGAGAGCAUCCGUGUCUCCAAAGAAGGAUUGGUGGACUUCAAGAGAGAAGGGGAACUUGGCUCAGGACCAGCAGGAUCUUUGGCACACCUGAUGUCAAAGAAUUGUAGCACAUGCCAGUCAAAGGCAUAGACAAGUUUAUUUAGGAAAAUAGAUAACUAUUCAAGGGAGAUUGGGGUGAUCUCAAGAGAAAGAUGUUUUUGUGGUAAGACAAGGAAUACACAUUUAAGGGUUAGGAUGCAGGCUAUCUCUAGAGGGAGAGACAGCUCCUGUUGAUAGGGUGUGUUAAUACUUAGAGGGACUACAUGUAGAGCAAGGAUGGAGUUUCAUAAUUUCUUGCCAUUUCUCCCUGCACUUGCAUAUUGCCUUAUGUUACUUUUGCAGGGUGUUUCCUUUUAGACUCAGUAUCUCUCCUUUUAUCCCCAAAUUCUUAUCUUAAAACCAGACGAGAAUAGGUUAAAAUUCAUAGUCUAAAUCCAUUACUGAAUUGAUUUUUUUUAUCUCUGUUGGCAUUUUAGAUAACCCUCUUUAUAGCAGUGCCCAUGUUAUAUCAUAGUUAUUUAUUACAGAUUUCUGACUUGCCUGUGAGACUUGAGAACAGGAACCAUAUUCAUGUAUUUUCAUAUCGCUUGAACAUGGCAUGCUUGGCUUAGAGUUAGUUGGCUUGUAGCUUAAUUAAACUCUUUAAACUCCAGUUAAAUUUGUACUCUAUUAAGUUCCUUUAUAAGAACCUAUUUGAUUUU